CGGGUCCUCCUGCUCUAAAGACAAGGGCUUUACUGACUGAGUCAUCUCCUUAGCCUCAGAGCCAGCAUUUAACCCCAGAGCCUCUCCCUCUGCAGGAACUGGACUCAGUCUCACGCUCUGCCCUCUGUGGUCAGGGACUUUCCUCACAGCAAAGUCACAUAAAAACUUGACAAGAUAGACCAAGGCGGGGCUCUUGGCCGCACCCAUCACAUGCUGGCCGCGAGUCACCCACUGCCAGGAAUGGCCAGGCAACUGCUCUGUAGCCAUUCUGAGUUGGCUUGACCCUGUGACUCUCUGGACUCUGCAUGGCCUGGAAGAAUCAGCCUUGACCUACCUCCGGCCGUUCGAAACUCCCUAUUCCCGACAUUGCCUGGCCUCCCCAUAUAUCGUACCCAGAGAAAGCACACUAAGAACUCCUUUCUCUCUCUUUUGAGGGCCUCACUACACAAAGCCAAGCUGGCCACGAACUUGUGGCGUCCUCUUACCUCAGCCUCCUAAGGGCUGGGAUUACAGACAUAAGCCACCGCAUUGGUCUCGUCUUUGUGGAAAAUGACCCUGCACGAGGCACAUACCUCUGGGAGACAGAGCCGUGAGUAGUCCCCACAAAUAGGCGACCAAGGUGCACAGUAUCCUUGACCCUGGCUAUGACCACAUAGAGCCGUGACACCUAAUCUGCGUACAGAGUGUCCCAUCCACCCAGCAUGUUAGUACUGCCUUUUUCUCCCAGCCCAUGGUUACUAGGACUGCAAGAUGUUUAAAAUUUCAUCUAAGAAUUUAGACAGGGAGCAGUGUUGCACACCUACUGACCUCCUAAACUAUAGGCGUAGGAACCAGGAUUCACCAGACUCAGCAUAGAAUGAAGUGGAGUUUAUUUGGGGAAGAAGAACUUAACACAGGAAACAAGUGACUGUCGCUCUGAUUCCAAGGAUGCAGACCCUGCUACCCUGAUGCUCUCUCUGCAACCUGAAGGGGCUCUGAGCCCCAGUCCAAUUCCUUUUAACUGGUCAUGUCCACACCUGUGGCCAUGUCCAAAAGGGCAUGGUCUGUGCUACAGGUGAGGAAGUGGAUAUUGCUACAAUUCCCCUUUUAGUCUAAAGAAGAUUUAGGCUUGAUACAAAACUAUAUACAGUGAUAGCAAAUAUCAAGUGUGCUCUAGGAGAUGGAAAGGUAAAAACACACACAAAUUAAGACCUUUUUACCAGUGAAGCAACAUUGAGCAAUUGACAUGAACUACUCUAAACCGUGUUGGUUCCUUUGGUCCAGUGUGGGUUGCUGUUGAUAGUUCUCUGUUCACAACAGUGUCUGGUUAGGGGGAGGUCAUGUCUCUACAGAUGCUGGAGCAAGAAGGAUCUUAAAGUAAUCUGACCCUUUAUCCUAUAAAAGAGGAAAUAUGAACUCUAAGGUCACCAGAGAUCAUGGAGCUAUUGACUGCUAAUCAGGCUUCGAACCCAAGUCCUCUGAUUUUUGGUUCUCUUUUCUUUCACUUACAACAUAUGUGACUUCACAUAUGGUCUCAGCUCCAUCAUUCACUGUGCGGUUUUUAAUCUGAUAUUUAACCUUGGAUCAUCUGAAAUACAAACAAUCUCAGCUACUGACCUCAUGGAGUUAUAUUAAGGAACAAGUGAGAUUUUUGCCUGGAUAGUGCAUUUGGAGAUGUCCGUCACACACAAUGAACUGUUCAGGAAAUUGGUGUUUUCAUUUGUGUUUUUUGGUGUUGGGGUUGAGCCCAGGGCCUUGUGAAUAUUAGGCAUAUCUUUGACUAGUAAGUAAGUUAAGUACCAGCCCUGUAGGUUAAAAACAAAACUAAACAACACAAAACAACACAAAACAAACAAACAAACAGACAGAAAACCCAAGUCCUCCUAACAAUUGGUCAGGAUCACUUUACAGUCUAGAAGCAUUUUCUCCCUAGCUGAGCUUAGAGGAAGGAAACAGCAUCUUGUGUUGUGGUUUGUGCUGGGAGUUUCCAUGCUUACCUUCAAUGUUUGUUCAAUACAGUGUUCUGUGGGACCCUAGGUUUUUCCUAACUCUGAGAAAAGUAAUCCACUAAAUCUCUUAAGACCAAGGUAACAGCGAUAGUUUACACUCUCAAAAUACGAUGGUGAGGUUAGCACAAUGUUAUUCUUUCAGCUGGAGGUGGGGGAAUCUCAGAUAACAAUGGCCGGUAGGUACAAGACCUUGGAUCUUGGUCUGGAUCUUCAUGGAGACUUAGGCAACUCCAGAUGAUUGUGUGUUUGGCCCCUAGCUGAAAAUCCCCUUACCAGCUCCUCCCCACCCCACUGUGUGGAGGACCUCCUGUCCCGGUGAGUGAGUGGGUUAUUGGUGGAGGGAAGGGGCAGGGACCAAAGCACCUGGGAUGUGGGCGGUAUCGUGGGUGCUUAGCAGGCUGGUUGAAUACUUAUUGUCUUCGAGAUUCUGCUUGGGUUCAGGGCUCAAAGCUGGCAGCUAAGUGAAAACUGUAAUCUAACACAAUGGGAUUUGUAUCUCAACAAAUGGAAAGCCAAAGUAAACAUGGCCAAGACAAGGGUGUAGAGAAAGAUUUAACACCUGCAAGAUGUAAGGGAAACCCAUACUUAUUUCCCAAACAGUGACCUCUCCCAACAAAGGAAGCUUGCGGAUUUUGUGUGGACGCCUAUACAUAUUCCCAUAGGAACACACUUUAGGGGUGGGCACAUUCCUGAGCAUGCUCAGUUAAGGUGGCAACUGAAGAAGGAAAGAGAGUAGACACUUUUUGACGGGGGAAAGUCCU
Long non-coding RNA from Mesocricetus auratus (golden hamster), 2749 nucleotides. RefSeq lists it as uncharacterized. Lineage: Eukaryota; Metazoa; Chordata; Mammalia; Rodentia; Cricetidae. The transcript is spliced from 3 exons. The record is from RefSeq and is a predicted model, not a curated record.